AGGACGAACGCUGGCGGCGUGCUUAACACAUGCAAGUCGAGCGGAAAGGCCCUUCGGGGUACUCGAGCGGCGAACGGGUGAGUAACACGUGAGUAAUCUGCCCCUAGCUCUGGGAUAGCUCCGGGAAAACCGGGAUUAAUACCAGAUACGACCACUUUAGACAUCUGUUGUGGUGGAAAGAAUUUUGGCUAGGGAUGAGCUCGCGGCCUAUCAGCUUGUUGGUGAGGUAACGGCUCACCAAGGCGACGACGGGUAGCCGGCCUGAGAGGGCGACCGGCCACACUGGGACUGAGACACGGCCCAGACUCCUACGGGAGGCAGCAGUGGGGAAUAUUGCGCAAUGGGCGAAAGCCUGACGCAGCGACGCCGCGUGGGGGAUGAAGGCCUCGGGUUGUAAACCCUUCAGCAGGACGAAGCGAAAGUGACGGUACCUGCAGAAGAAGCGCCGGCUAACUACGUGCCAGCAGCCGC
Molecule: ribosomal RNA, 471 nt
Filed under: uncultured bacterium
Lineage: Bacteria
Description: SSU rRNA
Rfam family: Bacterial small subunit ribosomal RNA
Source: RNAcentral